This 468-nucleotide ribosomal RNA is filed under the name uncultured bacterium. RNAcentral describes it as "bacterial SSU rRNA". It matches the Rfam family "Bacterial small subunit ribosomal RNA", at positions 297 to 752 of the family's 1533-position model. The record is from RNAcentral.
AGGAUGAUCCGCCACACUGGGACUGAGAAACGGCCCAGACUCCUACGGGAGGCAGCAGUGGGGAAUUUUGGACAAUGGGCGCAAGCCUGAUCCAGCCAUGCCGCGUGAGUGAAGAAGGCCUUCGGGUUGUAAAGCUCUUUCGGCCGGGAAGAAAUCGCAUGGGUCAAUACCCUGUGUGGAUGACGGUACCGGAAUAAGAAGCACCGGCUAACUACGUGCCAGCAGCCGCGGUAAUACGUAGGGUGCGAGCGUUAAUCGGAAUUACUGGGCGUAAAGCGUGCGCAGGCGGUUUGGUAAGUCAGAUGUGAAACGUCCCCGGGGCUCAACCUGGGAACUGCUAUUUGAGACUGCCAAGCUGGUAGUUUGGCAGAGGGGGGUGGAAUUCCACGUGUAGCAGUGAAAUGCGUAGAGAUGUGGAGGAACACCGAUGGCGAAGGCAGCCCCCUGGGCCAAUACUGACGCUCAUGC